GCAGCGACAUUUCCAUCUCCAUUAAGAGUUGUUUCCAAGGUAUCCUCCACGCCAUCUGCUCUCAUCCAAGUGGAUGAUCAUCGCAAGAAAAAACGAAAGCAAACAUGGCACAAACACAAGCAAAUGCAAGGGUGAGCUAAUUAUAUAUAUAAAAAAAAACAUGCAUCAUAUCAAACAUAUAAUAUACAAGAGUUAAAUUUUUAAUCAAAACAGAUUAAGGCAUAAUUCCUAACAUGUUGAAUACUAAACUUUACUCAUCCAGACUUUAGAAUGAUAGUCGAGCUAUGGCGGGCCAUGCACCCGUGGUGGCUUGUGAUACUUAGGCUCCCCCGCCCUGAGCU
RNAcentral lists this long non-coding RNA (341 nucleotides) under Vigna radiata. RNAcentral describes it as "long non-coding RNA (VRAD_LNC005407)". The record is from RNAcentral. Lineage: Eukaryota; Viridiplantae; Streptophyta; Magnoliopsida; Fabales; Fabaceae.